AUUGAACGCUGGCGGCAUGCCUAACACAUGCAAGUCGAACGGUAACGCGGGGCAACCUGGCGACGAGUGGCGGACGGGUGAGGAAUACAUAGGAAUCUGCCUGUUAGUGGGGGAUAGCCCGGGGAAACCCGGAUUAAUACCGCAUGAGCCCUACGGGGGAAAGAGGGGGAUCGCAAGACCUCUCGCUGACAGAUGAGCCUAUGUCCGAUUAGCUAGUUGGCGGGGUAAAGGCCCACCAAGGCGACGAUCGGCAACUGGUCUGAGAGGACGACCAGUCACACUGGGACUGAGACACGGCCCAGACUCCUACGGGAGGCAGCAGUGGGGAAUAUUGGACAAUGGGGGCAACCCUGAUCCAGCAAUGCCGCGUGUGUGAAGAAGGCCUGCGGGUUGUAAAGCACUUUCGGUGGGGAAGAACGCGCUUACGAUUAAUACUCGUGAGCAGUGACGGUAUCCAAAGAAGAAGCACCGGCUAACUCUGUGCCAGCAGCCGCGGUAAU
This 500-nucleotide ribosomal RNA is filed under the name uncultured bacterium. RNAcentral's name for it is "bacterial SSU rRNA". It matches the Rfam family "Bacterial small subunit ribosomal RNA", at positions 29 to 524 of the family's 1533-position model. The record is from RNAcentral.